GUCGCUUCUCGGCUCUAUGAGCUAAGAUCAAGCGCAGUAUCUGUUCUUAUCAGUUUAAUAUCUGGUAUGUUUUCUAUUUGAAAAUUAUAUUGCACGUGAAACUCAGCACUGGAGUAUUUACAAGUAUGCAACAGCAUACAUACACA
RNAcentral lists this small nuclear RNA (146 nucleotides) under Chelonoidis abingdonii (Abingdon island giant tortoise). RNAcentral describes it as "U2 spliceosomal RNA (ENSCABG00000009236.1)". The stretch from base 1 to 105 matches the Rfam family "U2 spliceosomal RNA". Rfam says of the family: U2 is a small nuclear RNA (snRNA) component of the spliceosome (involved in pre-mRNA splicing). Complementary binding between U2 snRNA (in an area lying towards the 5' end but 3' to hairpin I) and the branchpoint sequence (BPS) of the intron results the bulging out of an unpaired adenosine, on the BPS, which initiates a nucleophilic attack at the intronic 5' splice site, thus starting the first of two transesterification reactions that mediate splicing. The record is from RNAcentral. Lineage: Eukaryota; Metazoa; Chordata; Testudines; Testudinidae.